AGUGAACGCUGGCGGUAGGCCUAACACAUGCAAGUCGAACGGCAGCACAGUAAGAGCUUGCUCUUACGGGUGGCGAGUGGCGGACGGGUGAGGAAUACAUCGGAAUCUACUUUUUCGUGGGGGAUAACGUAGGGAAACUUACGCUAAUACCGCAUACGACCUACGGGUGAAAGCAGGGGAUCUUCGGACCUUGCGCGAUUGAAUGAGCCGAUGUUGGAUUAGCUAGUUGGCGGGGUAAAGGCCCACCAAGGCGACGAUCCGUAGCCGGUCUGAGAGGAUGAUCAGCCACACUGGAGCUGAGACACGGUCCAGGCUCCUACGGGAGGCAGCAGUGGGGAAUAUUGGACAAUGGGCGCAAGCCUGAUCCAGCCAUACCGCGUGGGUGAAGAAGGCCUUCGGGUUGUAAAGCCCUUUUGUUGGGAAAGAAAAGCAGCAGGUUAAUACCCCGCUGUUCUGACGGUACCCAAAGAAUAAGCACCGGCUAACUUCGUG
This 492-nucleotide ribosomal RNA is filed under the name uncultured bacterium. Its description in RNAcentral is "partial 16S ribosomal RNA". It matches the Rfam family "Bacterial small subunit ribosomal RNA", at positions 29 to 507 of the family's 1533-position model. The record is from RNAcentral.